GACGAACGCUGGCGGCGUGCUUAACACAUGCAAGUCGAACGGGUCUGCCCUGUUUUUUGCGGGGUGGGUCAGUGGCGAACGGGUGAGUAACACGUGAGUAACCUGCCCCUCACUUCUGGAUAACCGCUUGAAAGGGUGGCUAAUACGGGGUGUUCUGGCUGUGCCGCAUGGUGCGGCUGGGAAAGAUUCACUUUUGUGGUGUUUUGGUGGGGGAUGGGCUCGCGGCCUAUCAGCUUGUUGGUGGGGUGAUGGCCUGCCAAGGCUUUGACGGGUAGCCGGCCUGAGGGGGUGGGCGGUCACACUGGGGAUGAGAUACGGCCCAGACUCCUGCGGGAGGCAGCAGUGGGGGGUAUUGCACAAUGGGCGGAAGCCUGAUGCAGCGACGUCGCGUGAGGGAUGGAGGCCUUCGGGUUGUGAACCUCUUUCGCCGGUGAGGAAGGUCCUGCUCUUUGUGGUGGGGUUGACGGUAGCCGGGUUAUGAAGCGCCGGCUAACUACGUG
RNAcentral lists this ribosomal RNA (500 nucleotides) under uncultured bacterium. RNAcentral's name for it is "partial 16S ribosomal RNA". It matches the Rfam family "Bacterial small subunit ribosomal RNA", at positions 28 to 507 of the family's 1533-position model. The record is from RNAcentral.